GCCGCCAUCGUCUAACGGUUCUGGACAUCACCUUCUCAAGGUGAAGAUUAGGGGUUCGAAUCCCCUUGGCGGCA
Molecule: transfer RNA, 74 nt
Filed under: Candidatus Roizmanbacteria bacterium RIFCSPHIGHO2_01_FULL_39_8
Lineage: Bacteria; Candidatus Roizmaniibacteriota
Also listed under: 1 other name
Description: tRNA-Glu
Rfam family: tRNA
About the family: Transfer RNA (tRNA) molecules are approximately 80 nucleotides in length.
Source: RNAcentral